Molecule: ribosomal RNA, 468 nt
Filed under: uncultured bacterium
Lineage: Bacteria
Description: partial 16S ribosomal RNA
Rfam family: Bacterial small subunit ribosomal RNA
Source: RNAcentral
GACGAACGCUGGCGGCGUGCUUAACACAUGCAAGUCGAACGGAAAGGCCCUGCUUUUGUGGGGUGCUCGAGUGGCGAACGGGUGAGUAACACGUGAGUAACCUGCCCUUGACUUUGGGAUAACUUCAGGAAACUGGGGCUAAUACCGGAUAGGAGCUCCUGCUGCAUGGUGGGGGUUGGAAAGUUUCGGCGGUUGGGGAUGGACUCGCGGCUUAUCAGCUUGUUGGUGGGGUAGUGGCUUACCAAGGCUUUGACGGGUAGCCGGACUGAGAGGGUGACCGGCCACAUUGGGACUGAGAUGCGGCCCAGACUCCUACGGGAGGCAGCAGUGGGGAAUAUUGCACAAUGGGCGGAAGCCUGAUGCAGCAACGCCGCGUGCGGGAUGACGGCCGUCGGGUUGUAAACCGCUUUCGCCUGUGACGAAGCGUGAGUGACGGUAAUGGGUAAAGAAGCACCGGCUAACUACGUG